Molecule: ribosomal RNA, 669 nt
Filed under: Prevotella sp. C579
Lineage: Bacteria; Pseudomonadati; Bacteroidota; Bacteroidia; Bacteroidales; Prevotellaceae
Description: bacterial SSU rRNA
Rfam family: Bacterial small subunit ribosomal RNA
Source: RNAcentral
GCAGUCGAGGGGAACGGCNUUUGUGCUUGCACCGAAUGGACGUCGACCGGCGCACGGGUGAGUAACGCGUAUCCAACCUACCCAUUACUGUGGGAUAACCUGCCGAAAGGCAGACUAAUACCGCAUAGUCUUCGAUGACGGCAUCAGAUUUGAAGUAAAGAUUUAUCGGUAAUGGAUGGGGAUGCGUCUGAUUAGCUUGUUGGCGGGGUAANGGCCCACCAAGGCAACGAUCAGUAGGGGUUCUGAGAGGAAGGUCCCCCACAUUGGAACUGAGACACGGUCCAAACUCCUACGGGAGGCAGCAGUGAGGAAUAUUGGUCAAUGGGCGCGAGCCUGAACCAGCCAAGUAGCGUGCAGGAUGACGGCCCUAUGGGUUGUAAACUGCUUUUGUAUGGGGAUAAAGUCAAUCACGUGUGAUUGUUUGCAGGUACCAUACGAAUAAGGACCGGCUAAUUCCGUGCCAGCAGCCGCGGUAAUACGGAAGGUCCGGGCGUUAUCCGGAUUUAUUGGGUUUAAAGGGAGCGUAGGCCGGAGAUUAAGUGUGUUGUGAAAUGUAGACGCUCAACGUCUGACUUGCAGCGCAUACUGGUUUCCUUGAGUACGCACAACGUUGGCGGAAUUCGUCGUGUAGCGGUGAAAUGCUUAGAUAUGACGAANAACUCCGAUUGC